RNAcentral lists this long non-coding RNA (4836 nucleotides) under Nicotiana benthamiana. RNAcentral describes it as "long non-coding RNA (NBEN_LNC027550)". The record is from RNAcentral. Lineage: Eukaryota; Viridiplantae; Streptophyta; Magnoliopsida; Solanales; Solanaceae.
GUAAAAGAACUCGGCAGGCGGCUCCUUCUUCUUCAUCUCGUAAAACAUCUCGAACAGUUUUAUCCUGGUUGAUAGACAAUAAUGUUGUUCUGCCACGUACUAAGGUACUAUAUUGUGCAAAGAAGUAUGGUAAUCCAAUGGCAGAUGGGCAGAUAACUCGUGAAGGAAUCAAAUGCAAUUGCUGCCAAAAAAUUUAUGGUCUUCGUAACUUUGAAACUCAUGCUGGAAGCAAUUGUCACAGACCUUCAGCAAAUCUAUUUUUAGAGGAUGGAAGGUCUCUUCUUGAGUGCCAACUGCAGAUGAAACGUAAACAGAGUGUAAAAAACAUCAGGAAAGAACCACGUGAUGUGAAAAAGGGUAGUCGUGUUGGCACGAAUGACUAUAUAUGCUCCGUGUGUCAUUAUGGUGGUGAAUUAAUUCUAUGUGAUGAAUGCCCUUCUUCAUUUCAUCCUGAUUGUCUUGGAAUGAAGGUAUCACUUUCUUAUUGUUAUAUUCUAGUAUUCUACUUUGUGUAUUAAUCCUUAAUCAAAAAGCUAAAUAGUACUGGAUCAUGGUUAUAGAGUGAGUCAUAUCUUUUAAUAUACUUCUUCCACUGGUUUUAUUUUGCUAAUUGUUUAAACAGGAGGUUCCAGAUGGUGACUGGUUUUGCCCAUCAUGCUGUUGUAAAGUGUGUGGUCAUAGUGGAUUUGAUACAAACAGAAACCACUUUACAGAUAACAAUGUUCUAAUUUGUUGUCAGUGCGAGCAUAAGUGUAAGGAACUGUCUGAUCUUUCUCAUAUGUUCCUGCUACAUUUUUUGAUCUUUCUAGUAUGUUCCUGUAACAUUUUCGUGCUCAGAAAUAUAAAACUGUGUGCAUGUGUGUGCUUGCAUAUCUUCAUAUAUGUAUUUGUUUGCUGAUUAAGAUUGAUCCAAUGCAGAUCAUGCUCGGUGCGUUAGAAGCAAGGGUCCUGGAAAGCUGGAUAAUUAUCCUGAAGGAAAUUGGUUUUGCAACAAGAGCUGUGAGCUGGUAUUUGAAGCAUGCUUUAUUCAAAGUGCACUUUUAAUCCGUUGAGAAGUUAUAAAACACACUUGAAACACCUGUGCGAUGAGAUAAAUGCUACAUUUGAUUGGUCUUAAUUUUGCUACCUAGGAAAAUAUUUAAUGUCCGAGAAACAUGCUCAAGUAGAGGUUUUUUCAUUUUCUUUGGGUUUUAACUCUGGGGAAAUAUUGUACAUAUGCUACAUUUGAUUGGUCUUAAUUUUGCUACCUAGCAAAAUAUUUAAUGUCCGAGAAACAUUGUGAUAACAUGCUCAAGUAGAGGUUUUUUCAUUUUCUUUGGGUUUUAACUCUGGGGAAAUAUUGUAUCUGAGACAAUCUUUUUUUUUUUGCAGAUAUUUUUGGGUAUGCAUCAUCUUUUGGGAAAGCCAGUUAUAGUGGACGAUGACAACCUAACUUGGACACUGUUGAAAUAUAUAGAACCUGAUGAUUCUGGUUCUGAUAUCGUGGAUUAUGUGUCCAGUGUGGAGAAUUAUAGCAGACUUAGUGUUGCUUUGGAUGUGAUGCAUGAAUGUUUUGAACCUGCCAAAGAACCUUACACUAGGAGAGAUAUUGUAGAAGAUGUUAUCUUCAGUAGAUGGUAAGAUUCAGAUUUUCAAGAUGAGUCAGUCUGGUCUUCUGAUGUAAUCUAUUCAGCACAAUUUUAGUGGUCUACUUUUAAUUUUCAUCCUUUCGUUUCAAAUAGUUUUGAUCAUUUACUUAUAGAAAAAUAGACCAAGUGUUUGCGUUCAACUGCUGCUUAGUGGUCUACUUUUAAUUUUAAUCCUUUCGUUUCAAAUAGUUUUGAUCAUUUACUUAUAGAAAAAUAGACCAAGUGUUUGCGUUCAACUGCUGUUGUUUAUCUCCAAAAUUAGUUGAACUCUCGUGUAGACAUGUAAUAUUCUUUUAUUGUUUUUAUUAAAAAAGAUGAUUAUAAUUUUUAUUAUUUCGACUAACGACAAACACGUAAAAUCUGAAAUUGCAGGUCAGAGCUAAACCGCUUAAAUUUUCAAGGUUUUUACACUGUGCUGUUAGAAAGAAAUGACGAACUGAUUACAGUAGCGACUGUAAGGUACCACAUUGUUAUAUAUUCUCAGGACAAAUUACCAUCAUUUUUGUACUCUUGUACACUUUUACAUAAUUCUGAAAGUAAUAAAUAAAAUUCAGGACAAAUUACCAUCAGUUUUGUACUCUUGUACACUUUUCCAUAUUUCUGAAAGUAUUAAACAAAAAAUAUAUAUACUUUUCCUGUCAUCUCAAAGGGUUUAUGGAGAAAAGGUGGCAGAAAUCCCUCUUGUUGCAACACAAUUUCAGCAUCGCCGACUUGGAAUGUGUCGAAUUUUAAUGAAUGAGCUCGAAAAGGUAUGCAUCUCUUCUCCAGUCCAGCUUUGACUCUUUCUUUUCUUUUUUUCUUUUUUUUUUUUGUGGGAUGUUGGUGGUGUGUUUAAGCUGAGGGAUACCAAAGGAACAUCUCUAAAAGAGGCCCGAGCAUAUUGUUUCUGAUGCAGGGAAGGCCCGAGCAUAUUCUUUCUGAUGCAGGGAUGUCCAUGAAAGCUAUAUAAAGUAUAAAAAGAUCUUCUGUUGUAUUUUCUUGUAAAUAUUAGUUAUAGGUUACUUUUCUCAUCCAGGGCUGCAGAUUCAAGAUGUUUAGGCUAUGUAUUUAAGCGGGUUAAAUGGUCAGAUCUCCCUAUGAGGGGUUGUUAACGUACAUUUUAUUGGAUAAGAUCUUCUGAUAUUUGGAAAUGUUCGUUAGCCAAUGUCCACAAUGUCAUGGUAGUAACAGUCGUAGGGUUUCACAUUCAACUUAGCAAAAGUGAUGUUAGUAGGGCAAAUAUGUUAUGUGAACUGCAUUAGUCCAAAUAAAUUACUUAGUUUAGGGUUUCACAUUCGACUUAGCAAAAGUGAUGUUAGUAGGGCAAAUAUGUUAUGUGAACUGCAUUAGUCCAAAUAAAUUACUUAGUUGCUGUAUAGUCGGACUUAAAUGAUUGAUUUGAAGAUGCUAUUUUUGAGUUUAGUCAUACAGUCCAAAUAUACUUAUUAACUGGUUCUGCUUCUGUUUCAUUAAAUGCUAUGUUGGUAUUUUUUUCCCAGAAACUCAUGGAAUUAGGAGUUGAGAGGCUAGUUUUGCCAGCAGUUCCUGCUGUCCUAGACACAUGGACCGCUUCAUUUGGUUUCUCAGUGAUGAAAGAAUCAGAGAGAGUAAACUUCUUGGAUUACACUUUCCUUGAUUUCCAGGGUACCAUAAUGUGUCAGAAGAUCCUUCAAAAGAACCAUUCUGUGGUGUCGAGUGUAUUAACAGGUAUAUAAAAUCUUCUGUCUGUUGUGAACAAAAGAUGAAUAUCUGUUCUGCAGCUGAAAUUUAAGAACUCUUGCAGAAGCCCAACAAACUCAUUCUGACAAUACAAACAGCAAAGACAAUGUUGACUUGGAUGACAAUACUGCUGUUUCUGAGGUAUUCCAAGCAAAGCAAGUUGAGGGUUGUGCAACUGUGGACCAAGGAUCUAUGGAGUAUGUUUCCUCUCUCUUUUGCUCUGCUUUGAAAGGGUUGAAGAAGAGUCUAACCAGAGCGCUAUAAGGUUCAUAUCCACGAGGAACAGAAAUUAUAGUAACAAGAAUCAUAAUAUAAAUUUGCUUGAAACUAAUGAUAUUGUCCAGCAGACAAACUCACUCAUAUGGAAGUUAAUGAUAUGAACAAGAAGUCAAGUAGACCCAAUAAAUGCACGGUAUAACUGUCAACAGAGGAGUCAUCACCUUAAAUGUAUCUCAAACAAUUAUACUACAUUCAUACAUAUAUCAGAUUUUUGUAUAGUAUUAACUUUAUUAUCUAUUUAUGAGGUGUGGUAUCUAAAGAACAAAACAUUAGUAUGAGGUGUUAACAAAUGCUUUUUUUUCUCUAAUCUCGACUAUUUCUUUAGUUUAUUGUUAAUUGUGUGUUCUUAUAUCAUCCUUACUCUAUUUUCAAAUGUUCUUUUAUCUUUUUGGUCUAUUAUCAUGUUUGAAUUAAAGCAAAGAAAGAUAGGUCCCGUGUCUUCUUUCUAUGAAAGGUCUACUAAUUGGACAAGAGGAUUCCUAACUAAACAUUAUCAAGUUUCGGCAUCAUCUUUUGUCCUAAUGUCUGAGUGUUUUACUUAAACCCCAAAAUUAUCUCCAAAAAGUUGAAUAGAAAUAAUUCUCUCAUACUCAUCGUCUCUUGAACUUCCGUUCCUAGGUCAAGGAUUUUCUGAUCAUCUUUGAUAAGCCAGCUGAUGACAUUUCCUCAGAAAAUCAAAAUCAACGGGAGUGAUAGUUGUGGCGGUCUGUUGAGCCAGAAAUCUUGAUGUUUCAUAGCUUUGACGACUUGUUCACCUUUGGAACAAGGCCAAAGCAUGUUGCUAAUGAUAUUCAAAGACCGCAACAAUCCUGCCCAAAGGUUAGCUUCUCUUAAAUAUAACUGGAUUUGAACGACUGUUUUCCAAGCAUUAUUGGCAUAACUGGAAAUCUAAACACAGGGUUGAUCCUUUUGGAUAAUGAUUCUACUUUUUGAGCAUGUCAUACAUCAAAUUCUAACUGGUGGGAAAACUCUUAAAAUGGAGAAUUCACUUAGCUUCUAGGUUUCUCCAUUAGAUUCCCACUGUAAUUACGAUAUGUUCAAGAUAUUUGCAAGAGCGUUCAACUUAGGAAACUGUGGAGAUUUUGUGGAGUCUAAGUAAUUGAUUGUGAACAUGGACACAUCUUCAAUGCUCCUGUUGCAAAUGUUGUGGUCGUCUUCACGACACUUGUUACUCAAAUUCAUAAGUAUCGAAAGAUACCGCUAAUGUUUUGCUUGGAAUAUGCUCAAGAUA